Olea europaea var. sylvestris is the source of this 2909-nucleotide long non-coding RNA. RefSeq lists it as uncharacterized. The transcript is spliced from 11 exons. The record is from RefSeq and is a predicted model, not a curated record. NCBI's taxonomy places the organism in Eukaryota, Viridiplantae, Streptophyta, Magnoliopsida, Lamiales, Oleaceae.
UGAAAGAUAAAGUUGGUCUACCUGUAAGAGAAAAUUUAAAAAUGACGACUGAAAUAGUAAAAUAACGAUAAAAAAAUUGAUUUUAAUUGAGUUUUAAGCGGUACCAAACAUGUUCUAAAAGUGGCUUCUGCUUUCUCUCUCUCACUUCGCACGUCGAGCUUUUGGAUGAGCUCCUCUCUCUACAACGAAAAUCAAACUCUGAGAUGAAGAAGAAAGUUACAAUUAUAUUUAUUUCGAAAUUUUCUCCACCAUUUUAGAUCUCAGGCUAUACUUUUGUUUAAUUUUUUGAGAAUUUUGUAGGAAAAUUGGGAUGGGAGGGAGCGGGGGGGAUUUGGAGGCCCAAAUUGAGGCAUUCCUGAAUGUCAAGAAGCAGAGGACGAAAGCGGGUAAUGUGGCCGACACUUGGAAGGCCGUGACUGACAUUCUGAAGCUAUGCUUUGACGCCGGUGCGUGGAAAACCUUCAAUGAUCAGAUUGUGCUUUUUUUUUAAAGUGUUGUGGCCAGUUGAAACAUGUCUAAACAAUUCCUUAUAUGUAUAUGUUUCUUCAUUCAUAAAGAUAUCUGGGUAAGCUAAAAAAGUUAACUUGUUAAAAAAUAAGCAAAUCUUAAAAUAAAUAUAUUUCUAUCGAUCAAAUUUAGAAACAAGUAGAAAAGAGUUAUUUUCAGUAACUUUAUUUUUAUUAAAAGUAAGAGAAAAACAACUCAUCCCAACUUAUUCAUGUAACGCUGCAUUUCGUCCCUAAUUUUUUGCAUGACAAGUAUAACCCAUUUCAUUAUCCGUAUAAAUCUUGUAGGUCUGAUAGGGAACUUCUGGGUCCUAACAAUCAAUAUCCCAUCGAAAUUUUUGAUAUAUUUCCUGAGAUUUCAAUUUCUGGAUUCGUAUGGGUUCUCAGUUUUCUGAUAUGCAUGUCAGUAAUGGAGGAGCAGAGAGCAAGUGGUACCAGUUUCGGAUCCUUAAUCAGUCCUAUGUUGAAGGUCCUAGAUGAAAUGUAUAGUGCCCAAGAUGAACGCAUAAACGCAAAACUUAUCGACAUCUACCAUACCCGCCAUAACAUAAGGAUGUCAAGUGGUCUCAGUGAUCCUGCUGUUACAACAGGGAUAUUUAAUCUUAUUUAUGAGACUACCAAAAUAAGGAUGUCCAAUUUUAUUCCUGAAACUACUUGAAUGAAGCCAUUAGAUUCAGAAGGCCUUGAUGAUAACCUUGUUAAUGAUUGUGCUGCAAACCUUAGUGAUGAUGGCUUAUUGGGAAAAAAAUGCACCUGCCAUGAAUAAGGUCAAACAUGCCUAACGGACAGCCUAAAUGGCUACUUUGUUUCAUCCCAAACUAUCCUUUGUUUAACUUCAUGCUCACAAUUGCCAUUUAGAUCUUCGUAUCAUAUCGACCUUUUGAGCUGACUAACACAUUGAAGUUAUCUUUAAUACCCACAAGAGACAAUGAGAAGCUAUUUUACAAUUUGUGUUGUGGGAGCCGCCAUCUGUGGAUCUUUAUAUUGCAUUUCAUUCAUUAUUCUGCAAGUCCCUCAUUAAUGUUCUUUCCAUGCUGUCUUCAAAGUGUGGGGACUCCAUUUGAUGUUUUUGAAGAGAACUCACAGCAUAGACAGGCUCCACCACUUGUUCAGCUCCUGGGACACCCAAGUUCCUUCCACAGAGAAAAAACUGUGACAUUUAUAUUUUGUUAUCAAACAAUGGCUGUGAUUAUAAAUUACUCAUAAAAGUUAUUUUAACAUGAACAAAAUUUUAAGGUCUUUGGAAGCGGACAAAUCUGACUGAUUUCAGGGUUCUUACUCAAUGCCUAGCGCUUAGUAAAGUUAAUGAUCAGUAUCUGAUUAAUCUUUUCCUGAAGAUCUAUGCAAAGAUAAUGUGCUCAAUGAAAUUGUAAGUCAUGUUAAAUAUUAUUAGAUUUUUCCUUGAUAGUUUUCAAAGUUUGAUUUUUAUCAUCCGUCCCUUGCAUUUUUGUGAUUUUCAAGCUAGGUGGGUUAAAUUUUCUCUUAGUCAUUGAACAAAGUCUGCCUAUCCCAGUGGUAUCUAAGGUUACAGCCAUACUACUUUGUAUGGAUGUGUCACAUGGCUCACCUUGCAAGUCUGAUAUCCCAUCCAUUGUUGCGGGAGCUUUUGAUUGAUUUCUAUGUCACUUCACGAAAAAAGAAACCGAUGAAAUUAUAAUUUUCAGAAUCUGAACAAAGAGUCUGCAGAGUCAAGGUGGAAGCCUGGUUUGCAGACUUGGGUGAAUAGAGGAGGUCAGGGAAACUAUUCAUCAUGAUACUUAUCUUGUGGUACAAUGAUGGUGAUCCUAUAUUCGAAAAUGAUCAAUCUUACAUGUUGAAUAAUGUGUUCAAUUACCAUCAUGAUAAAUAUACAAAGAUAGAAGCUGGACUAAAGCAUGCACUCAGAUGUUGUAGUAUUGAGUAAGCCUAGAAUGUGGCGCAAGGCAUUACAGAUUGUCAAUAAAGAAGUUUUAAGAGCUUUCUGGAAAGGAAAUCUGGUUACAAUUGCUUGACUUCCUUAUUCUUCAGUCAACUUCUAUGUGCACGAACGUUACAAAAUGGUCGUCGGGGAAAUGCAAGUGCAGAUAUCCUUCUGAGCUUUUAUGGGUGGUCGUUUGUCAAGAAUAAAUGCUACUUUGACCACCUAUCCACUAAAUCUUGUGAAGAUACAGCUUGCUGCAAAGGUAAUAUAGUAAUACUUCAUGUAGAACUACCAAAAAAGAAAAGAUUAACAUAAAUGAGGACAACAUCCGCAGCUUAUUUCCAAUAAAUUUGGAUGGGGACAUAACAGUUUAAACAGAAAUAGAGUUGUACCCGAUGAAGCUACUACAGAAAUGAAGGUUUCUUUGGUCUAGUAUGUAUCUUGCUUUGGUUCCUUGUAUGACUAGAUAUGUUUAUCUCAAUACAGAAAUUUUUCUCUUGCUC